Molecule: ribosomal RNA, 484 nt
Filed under: uncultured bacterium
Lineage: Bacteria
Description: partial 16S ribosomal RNA
Rfam family: Bacterial small subunit ribosomal RNA
Source: RNAcentral
AGUGAACGCUGGCGGCAGGCCUAACACAUGCAAGUCGAGCGGAUGAAGGGAGCUUGCUCCUGGAUUCAGCGGCGGACGGGUGAGUAAUGCCUAGGAAUCUGCCUGUUAGUGGGGGAUAACGUCCGGAAACGGGCGCUAAUACCGCAUACGUCCUUAGGGAGAAAGUGGGGGAUCUUCGGACCUCACGCUAUCAGAUGAGCCUAUGUCGGAUUAGCUAGUUGGUGGGGUAAAGGCCUACCAAGGCGACGAUCCGUAACUGGUCUGAGAGGAUGAUCAGUCACACUGGAACUGAGACACGGUCCAGACUCCUACGGGAGGCAGCAGUGGGGAAUAUUGGACAAUGGGCGAAAGCCUGAUCCAGCCAUGCCGCGUGUGUGAAGAAGGUCUUCGGAUUGUAAAGCACUUUAAGUUGGGAGGAAGGGCAGUAAGUUAAUACCUUGCUGUUUUGACGUUACCAACAGAAUAAGCACCGGCUAACUUCGUG